GAAUUCGCCCUUAGAGUUUGAUCCUGGCUCAGGACGAACGCUGGCGGCGUGCUUAACACAUGCAAGUCGAACGGAGCACCCCUGAAAGAGUUUUCGGACAAUGGAAGGGAAUGCUUAGUGGCGGACUGGUGAGUAACGCGUGAGGAACCUGCCUUCCAGAGGGGGACAACAGUUGGAAACGACUGCUAAUACCGCAUGAUGUGUUUCGAUGGCAUCAUCGAGACACCAAAGAUUUAUCGCUGGAAGAUGGCCUCGCGUCUGAUUAGCUGGUAGGCGGGGUAACGGCCCACCUAGGCGACGAUCAGUAGCCGGACUGAGAGGUUGACCGGCCACAUUGGGACUGAGAUACGGCCCAGACUCCUACGGGAGGCAGCAGUGGGGAAUAUUGGGCAAUGGGCGCAAGCCUGACCCAGCAACGCCGCGUGAAGGAAGAAGGCUUUCGGGUUGUAAACUUCUUUUAAGAGGGAAGAGCAGAAGACGGUACCUCUUGAAUAAGCCACGGCUAACUACGUGCCAGCAGCCGCGGUAAUACGUAGGUGGCAAGCGUUGUCCGGAUUUACUGGGUGUAAAGGGCGUGCAGCCGGGAAGACAAGUCAGAUGUGAAAUCCCGCGGCUCAACCGCGGAACUGCAUUUGAGACUGUUUUUCUUGAGUACCGGAGAGGUCAUCGGAAUUCCUUGUGUAGCGGUGAAAUGCGUAGAUAUAUGGAAGAACACCAGUGGCGAAGGCGGCUCUCUGGUCUGCAACUGACGCUGAGGCUCGAAAGCAUGGGUAGCGAACAGGAUUAGAUACCCUGGUAGUCCAUGCCGUAAACGAUGAGUGCUAAGUGUUGGGAGGUUUCCGCCUCUCAGUGCUGCAGCUAACGCAUUAAGCACUCCGCCUGGGGAGUACGACCGCAAGGUUGAAACUCAAAGGAAUUGACGGGGGCCCGCACAAGCGGUGGAGCAUGUGGUUUAAUUCGAAGCAACGCGAAGAACCUUACCAGGUCUUGACAUCCAGUGCAAACCUAAGAGAUUAGGUGUUCCCUUCGGGGACGCUGAGACAGGUGGUGCAUGGCUGUCGUCAGCUCGUGUCGUGAGAUGUUGGGUUAAGUCCCGCAACGAGCGCAACCCUUGUCAUUAGUUGCCAUCAUUAAGUUGGGCACUCUAAUGAGACUGCCGGUGACAAACCGGAGGAAGGUGGGGAUGACGUCAAGUCAUCAUGCCCCUUAUGACCUGGGCUACACACGUGCUACAAUGGACGGUACAACGAGAAGCGAACCUGCGAAGGCAAGCGGAUCUCUUAAAGCUGUUCUCAGUUCGGACUGUAGGCUGCAACUCGCCUACACGAAGCUGGAAUCGCUAGUAAUCGCGGAUCAGCACGCCGCGGUGAAUACGUUCCCGGGCCUUGCACUCACCGCCCGUCA
This 1404-nucleotide ribosomal RNA is filed under the name uncultured bacterium. RNAcentral describes it as "partial 16S ribosomal RNA". It matches the Rfam family "Bacterial small subunit ribosomal RNA". The record is from RNAcentral.